Molecule: long non-coding RNA, 386 nt
Filed under: Phasianus colchicus (ring-necked pheasant)
Lineage: Eukaryota; Metazoa; Chordata; Aves; Galliformes; Phasianidae
Description: lncRNA (ENSPCLG00000019607.1)
Source: RNAcentral
UGGAAAAUAUUUGCAGAAUUAAACAGAUGAAUAUCAGGGGGGUGAAGGAUGUCCAUUGAACUGUUCCUGGGGGACAAGUACUACUGCCAGCUAGCACUGGCAGAAACAAUAAACCAGAUUUUGGCACUUGGAAAUGAACAGAGACACAGAGUACAGAAGAAAGAUAAAUAUUUUUGAAGUAGAAAAGACUAUAUGUGAGUUCAAUAUAGUCUUUUGGCUAAGAGCAAGAUAAUCUACAAAGAGAGUCUGUGAUUUAACAAGGCAACCCAAAAGUUUUAAGACCUGGAUUCCCAUCAGAAAUCUGAAGACUAUCCCUAGAGCUUCUGAUGUGGACAGAAAAACCUCAAUGAAAUAAAUAAAUGAAAGUUUAUGAUUUUGUCUGGGCC